GCCUGGCGGGCUUAGUCGGUGGAGCGUGUGACUCUUGAUCUCAGGGUCGUGAGUUACAAGUCCCAUGUUGGGCA
This 74-nucleotide transfer RNA is filed under the name Ailuropoda melanoleuca (giant panda). It matches the Rfam family "tRNA". From Rfam's summary of the family: Transfer RNA (tRNA) molecules are approximately 80 nucleotides in length. Their secondary structure includes four short double-helical elements and three loops (D, anti-codon, and T loops). Lineage: Eukaryota; Metazoa; Chordata; Mammalia; Carnivora; Ursidae. The record is from Rfam by way of RNAcentral.